This 379-nucleotide unclassified non-coding RNA is filed under the name uncultured bacterium. Its description in RNAcentral is "contains 16S-23S intergenic spacer region". The record is from RNAcentral.
UCCGGUUUGUCACCGGCAGUAUCCCAUGAGUCCCCAACUAAAUGCUGGCAACAUGGGACAAGGGUUGCGCUCGUUGCGGGACUUAACCCAACAUCUCACGACACGAGCUGACGACAGCCAUGCAGCACCUGUGUCUAGGUUCCCUUUCGGGCACUCCUGCAUUUCUGCAGGAUUCCUAGCAUGUCAAGGGUAGGUAAGGUUUUUCGCGUUGCAUCGAAUUAAACCACAUCAUCCACCGCUUGUGCGGGCCCCCGUCAAUUUCUUUGAGUUUUAAUCUUGCGACCGUACUUCCCAGGCGGCACGCUUAUCGCGUUAGCUUCGCCACAGAAGGGGUCGAUUCCUCCUACAGCAAGCAUGCACCGUUUAGGGCUAGGACUAC